RNAcentral lists this transfer RNA (74 nucleotides) under Bacteroidales bacterium. RNAcentral describes it as "tRNA-Arg". It matches the Rfam family "tRNA". From Rfam's summary of the family: Transfer RNA (tRNA) molecules are approximately 80 nucleotides in length. Their secondary structure includes four short double-helical elements and three loops (D, anti-codon, and T loops). Further hydrogen bonds mediate the characteristic L-shaped molecular structure. tRNAs have two regions of fundamental functional importance: the anti-codon, which is responsible for specific mRNA codon recognition, and the 3' end, to which the tRNAs corresponding amino acid is attached (by aminoacyl-tRNA synthetases). tRNAs cope with the degeneracy of the genetic code in two manners: having more than one tRNA (with a specific anti-codon) for a particular amino acid; and 'wobble' base-pairing, i.e. permitting non-standard base-pairing at the 3rd anti-codon position. The record is from RNAcentral. RNAcentral also lists the same sequence under 1 other name. Lineage: Bacteria; Pseudomonadati; Bacteroidota; Bacteroidia; Bacteroidales.
GGCCCCGUAGUUCAGCUGUAUAGAACGUCGGAUUCCGGUUCCGAAAGUCGUGGGUUAGAAUCCCGCCGGGGUCA